AAAAAGGAUUGCUUUCUUGCUGGUAUGUACAAGGAGAAGGAUUUCAUGUGGGCAUUUAAAGGUUUCAAACAAAAUUGUUCUUGAUAGGCCCACACAACAAGCACAGUGAAAUGAAAGAUAUCACAAGCAGUUUAAUUCCAACCCUGGGGAAACAAGAUGAAGGAAAGUUUUGCUUUUGUUGUAUUUUAGUUCCAGAGAGCCUAACAUCUGAAUGUGGGCACAUGGAAAUGAAGCAAUGUGCUUAACUAGUUAAGUCAGCUGAAGGGCAACCCCUUUCUACUCAGGGCAAUUAGCGGCGGCAAUUUAGGAGGUAAAAGUACUUGUAAAGUGUUCUGCAUGUGUAAAGCAAGAUAGAUCACUAUUUACACAACAGCAGUCGGGCCCCAUUUCUCUUUCUACCUUUAAGCUAAGUGUCUGUGGGAUCAAUUUGGGCAUUUUCUGUAGACCACUUGGUUAUUAUCUUUGUAUUCUAGGAUGCUAGAAUAUCCUUGGGAGUGAAAGUCAAACUUUAAAGCCUACUUUUUGUGUACCCUAAAUGGUAAAUUACAAACUCAGGAUAUUCGAUAGGGGCUCCCUUAAAAAAAUCUUUGAAGAUAAGUGGGAAGUUGGAAAAGGUUUUAAACCUAAACAAAGAGCAGCAAUGACUGAUCAUUUAAGAAGCAAACCACAAUGUAUCUUUCUGUUGUUUUAUUAAAAGACAAAUUUUGACUGAAAUAUCCUUUAAGCUUAAGCAAUUUUCAAAUUGAGUAAGGGUAAAAAGCCUCCUCCCAGAUACAAUAAAUGGAAAUGUUUUCAAGUAUGGUGACACACUGCUUAGUAAGCCUCUGAGGCUUUAACAAAAGCACUCAGAAGUAAGUCCAUCAUAGAGGGUGAGAUGUCUUUUGUCUUAGAUAACGCUGUGAAAACCUCGAGAAAAGUCUAGAAAAAUGAGUUAAAUUCACCAAAAUUGGUAAACAUUGGUAACUUUUGCUUCAAAGAUUGUAAAUAAACAGAUACUCCUUUCAUUGGGCUUCCAAGCAAUGUACAACAAAGCAAUUACUGACAACAUCAUUUGACAACAACUAUUCUCCUUAGGUUUUAGCUCUUACAGUCUACAGGGUUCCCAAAACUUCUGCACAUUGUGCUUUUCAUAGCAGAAUUUUAAUUAAAGAUCAUAGCUAUUUUCUAAAUGAAUAUCCUUUUAUUGAAUUUUCCCAAUUAAAAAUGAAAUUCAAUUUUACAUCUAUAAUUAGAAAUGACACACACACAAUGGGACUGUACAAAUUUAGGUCAAAAUAAAAAUAUAUGUAUUUUGUGGCUUCAUAAAACAUUUACUAAAUCUUUAAAGAAAGCAGAAGUAACAGCAAUAUAUGUAAAAGUAAUGAUUUAAUGGCUAUGAGCAAGACAAAGCAAUAGAAUUGUGCUUCUUUUGCAGACUGUAGACCAUGAAAUGCUUAGCUACAGGGUCCAUACAAACAUGAAACGAUUCAUAUGGAAGAAACGUCCUCACAGAUAACUGGUGGCUGAUAAACACACGCUAAGUUCGACCAAAGCAAACUGAGACUUGGUAGGGUCAUUCAUAUUUUAAACUCAAC
RNAcentral lists this long non-coding RNA (1574 nucleotides) under Rattus norvegicus (Norway rat). RNAcentral describes it as "long non-coding RNA NONRATT013164". The record is from RNAcentral. Lineage: Eukaryota; Metazoa; Chordata; Mammalia; Rodentia; Muridae.